CAGCACACUUAGAUAAAAUUGAAGUGAAGAGAUGUGAGGUUUAUCUUCUUCUUCGAAUGAAAGAUAGUUCAAACAAAUUUAUAGAGUUUUGAAAAGUCAUGUAUAAAAAGAUAUAUGAACUAAAGUGAUGCAUGAACUCAAGAGUUACGUGAACUCAAUAGAUACAUGAACUUAAAAAUACACAAACUCAUCGUGUAACUAUUUCAUGUCCUCCCGCUGUCUUAUGAUUUGCGGACUAGCGUGGCACUGUUCCGGUUAUUCACUGCAUCAGAUUAUGUUGCUGCCCAGUGUCUUAGGGGUCAAAAAAGGAAAAUAAAAGAGAAAUUGCAUGUUAUUCUCGACAUGAGAUAUUUGCACCCAUCAUGUGACUAUUUCAUGUCCUCCCGCUGUCUUUAACUAGGCAGAAGUCUGAAACCUGUACUUAUUCAUGUCUAGUUUUUAGAUUAGCUAUAUGAUAGCUGAAGCUGCUGCAACCGUUGAACCUAGUUUAUUCUGUGUAGGUAUACGCCUUCCAUGUGGUCAUUUGAAAAUGCAUUCGCUAUCUCAUUCAGUUCUUUCUUAAAUUAUUCUUAGACAUGGUGGUAAUGCCGAUAUCUGAUUUCAGGAGAAGAAUAAUGUACCAUCAUAUGGAGAUCUUCAAGAAAGAUGAUGUCAUAGUGACGCCAACUACUGGUUAUGUCAUCGUGUGACUAGCUCAACUUGGUGUUUCCCUUCGAGGAUGCAGUUUCAAUGCUUGAUGAUGUGUAAUUGGACUUGGCAAGCCUGAUAUAAGCAUAGUUUUUGUCCUUUCAAUCAUCCAAGUUUGAUGAGGAGCAAGCUGGUAGUAUGCAUAAUUGGAUUUAAAUUUGUGAUCUCUGCUUCAAUGGCUUGGCAGACUGAAUCAGAAUCACACUACUUAAAUUUUGGGUUUUCUGUCCUUCAAUGUUAGCUUAAUUCUUCUUUUAGAUUUUCAACUGACACAAAAAUUGUUUAUUACAGAAUGACAGCACCUAAAAUACCUCCUAGUGCCCUUAAAUAUGGGGAAAUGGAUUUGCAGGUUACAGGUUAUCUCAUGUGAUUCGUCACUGCUGCAAAUCUUCUAGGUCUUCCUACCAUUUCUGUCCCGAUCGGGUAUGAUAGGCAAGGCCUUCCAAUUGGUUUGCAACUAAUGGGCCGUCCAUGGGGUGAAGCUUCAGUUUUGCGCCUAGCUCUGUAGUUGUGGUAUAUCUUUUUUCAUUUCACGCGCCAAUUCUUCAAGCAAUUUGAGAGACAAAUGCUAUCACUUGCCUAGUUUUCUCUUGCUCUGACGAACUCUGUGGAUCUAAGAAGAGGCCUCUAUCAUUCUAUGAUGUUCUGAAGACGAGCUGAAUCCGGCUUAGCUCCUAUUGCUGAUUCUUCUCUCCUGCUGAUUGUAUGGGUUCUGAGGCACGUGGGGAGAUCUUUGCAGUGAUUUAAUUGCUCCUGAUUUAGCAGAGACCUCUAAUGUCGAUUCGGAAAGGACUUAAUUAUUUGUAUACUUUUGUGGCUAGAUUUUAGCUUUUUUAAAGCUUGAUUACGAUAUGAAGAUUCGCUUUUAAUCAGAUAAAUCGUUUAUAGACAAUGACUUUCCCCCAAAGAUGUCAAUUGUUCAAUUAAUCCACGGUUUCCCUGUUGCUUA
Molecule: long non-coding RNA, 1636 nt
Organism: Eucalyptus grandis
Lineage: Eukaryota; Viridiplantae; Streptophyta; Magnoliopsida; Myrtales; Myrtaceae
Exons: 3
Source: RefSeq, a predicted model, not a curated record